UACGUAGGGCGCAAGCGUUGUCCGGAAUUAUUGGGCGUAAAGAGCUCGUAGGCGGCUUGUCACGUCGGGUGUGAAAGCCCGGGGCUUAACCCCGGGUCUGCAUUCGAUACGGGCUGGCUAGAGUGUGGUAGGGGAGAUCGGAAUUCCUGGUGUAGCGGUGAAAUGCGCAGAUAUCAGGAGGAACACCGGUGGCGAAGGCGGAUCUCUGGGCCAUUACUGACGCUGAGGAGCGAAAGCCAGGGGAGCAAACGGG
This 253-nucleotide ribosomal RNA is filed under the name uncultured bacterium. Its description in RNAcentral is "partial 16S ribosomal RNA". It matches the Rfam family "Bacterial small subunit ribosomal RNA", at positions 524 to 776 of the family's 1533-position model. The record is from RNAcentral.